GCUAGUUUUUACCUUCACCUUAGGGACAUCUACCUCCAGGCCUUCGGGGGGCGCUGCAGUGAGCUCCAGGUCUUCCAUCUCUGACUGGAUCACUUAGCUCUCCAGUUCUGCCUUCUGCACUCUUCCACACCUGAGUCUGCAGGCAGCCAUGGUGAGGACAAAGGCAAGAUUCUCCGCUAACCCCAUCACUCGGGAUGCUUUUUGAGGGAGGCGGGAGAGAUUCAGAUAUAGAUUAUUG
This 238-nucleotide long non-coding RNA is filed under the name Fukomys damarensis (Damara mole-rat). Its description in RNAcentral is "lncRNA (ENSFDAG00000030203.1)". The record is from RNAcentral. Lineage: Eukaryota; Metazoa; Chordata; Mammalia; Rodentia; Bathyergidae.